CGUCACGGUGGCGCCGGGCAGCGCCUCGGCGUGCCGGGCCGCCGCGGCGGUGGCCGUCGACGCCGAGUACCGGAUCGUGAUCGGCAGUGUCGCC
RNAcentral lists this transfer RNA (94 nucleotides) under Actinocatenispora comari. RNAcentral's name for it is "tRNA-Gly". The record is from RNAcentral. Lineage: Bacteria; Bacillati; Actinomycetota; Actinomycetes; Micromonosporales; Micromonosporaceae.